GGGGAUGUAGCUCAGUUGGUAGAGUGCUUGUCUGGAAUGCACACAGCCCUGGGUUCAAUCCCCAGCACCCCCU
RNAcentral lists this transfer RNA (73 nucleotides) under Marmota monax (woodchuck). It matches the Rfam family "tRNA". From Rfam's summary of the family: Transfer RNA (tRNA) molecules are approximately 80 nucleotides in length. Their secondary structure includes four short double-helical elements and three loops (D, anti-codon, and T loops). Lineage: Eukaryota; Metazoa; Chordata; Mammalia; Rodentia; Sciuridae. The record is from Rfam by way of RNAcentral.